UUAUAGGGUCAAGCGACUAAGUGCAUGUGGUGGAUGCCUUGGCGACUACAGGCGAUGAAGGACGCGCAAGCCUGCGAUAAGGCUCGGGGAGCUGGCAAUGAAGCUUUGAUCCGGGCAUUUCCGAAUGGGGNNGAACCCACCCGCAAGGGUACUCCUGCUGAAUACAUAGGCAGGGUAGNNAGCGAACGCAGUGAACUGAAACAUCUAAGUAGCUGCAGGAAAAGAAAUCAACCGAGAUUCCCAUAGUAGUGGCGAGCGAAUUGGGAAGAGCCUUCAUGAUUUAGCAUUCUUGUUAGUGGAACAGUCUGGAAAGUCUGGCCAUAGUGGGUGAUAGCCCCGUACGCGAAAACAAGAGUGUGGAACUAGGCAUGAGACAAGUAGGGCGGGACACGUGAAAUCCUGUCUGAACAUGGGNGGACCAUCCUCCAAGGCUAAAUACUCGUAGUCGACCGAUAGUGAACCAGUACCGUGAGGGAAAGGCGAAAAGAACCCCGGGAGGGGAGUGAAAUAGAUCCUGAAACCGCAUGCAUACAAACAGUGGGAGCCCCUCCUUUAAUGGCCUUCGUUCUUUGUGAUCGACACGCAGUGGCGAUCACAAAAGAUUGUAAGAAGGAGUGAAAUAGCCGCUUACCUCGGAUGGGGUGAGGGCCAUUAAAGGAGGGGUGACUGCGUACCUUUGUAUAAUGGGUCAGCGACUUACGUUCAGUUGCGAGCUUAACCGAAUAGGGAGGCGAAGCGAAAGCGAGUCUUAAUAGGGCGCAUAGUAGCUGGGCGUAGACCCGAAACCGGAUGAUCUAUCCAUGGCCAGGAUGAAGGUGCGGUAACACGCACUGGAGGUCCGAACCCACUAAUGUUGAAAAAUUAGGGGAUGAGCUGUGGAUAGGGGUGAAAGGCUAAACAAAUCCGGAGAUAGCUGGUUCUCCUCGAAAGCUAUUUAGGUAGCGCCUCAUGUAUCACUCACGGGGUAGAGCACUGUAAUGUUAGUGGGGGCCAUUGCGGCUUACUGCGGCAUAGCAAACUCCGAAUACCGUGAAGUGCGAGCAUGGGAGACAGACAUCGGGUGCUAACGUCCGGUGUCAAGAGGGAAACAACCCAGACCGACAGCUAAGGUCCCAAAUGACGUGCUAAGUGGAAAACGAUGUGGGAAGGCAUAGACAGCUAGGAAGUUGGCUUAGAAGCAGCCAUCCUUUAAAGAAAGCGUAAUAGCUCACUAGUCGAGUCGUCCUGCGCGGAAGAUGUAACGGGGCUAAGCACGUAACCGAAGCUUCGGAUAUGCACUUUGUGCAUAUGGUAGAGGAGCGUUCUGUAAGUCUGCGAAGGUGUUCUGUAAGGAAUGCUGGANGAUAUCAGAAGUGCGAAUGCUGACAUGAGUAGCGAUAAAGGNGGUGAAAAGCCCCUCGCCGAAAANCCAAGGUUUCCUGCGCAACGUUCAUCGGCGCAGGGUGAGUCGGCCCCUAAGGUGAGGCAGAGAUGCGUAGCUGAUGGGAAACGGGUCAAAAUUCCCGUACUUUCGUUUACUGCGAUGNNUGGGGACGGAGAAGGUUAGGUGGGCCGGGUGUUGGAUGUCCCGGUUUAAGUGCGUAGGCAGAUCNNCCUUAGGCAAAUCCGGGGUUAAUGCCGAGACACGAUGACGGUGCUCCAUUGGAGCCGAAGUCACUGAUACCAAGCUUCNCAAGAAAAGCCACUAAGCUUCAGGUAAACGAGAACCGUACCGCAAACCGACACAGGUGGGUAGGAUGAGAAUUCUAAGGCGCUUGAGAGAACUCGGGUGAAGGAACUCGGCAAAUUAGCACCGUAACUUCGGGAGAAGGUGCGCCCCGGUAGGGUAUAAGUCCUCGCGACGAAAGCCCGAUGGGGUUGCAGUGAAAAGGUGGCUGCGACUGUUUAAUAAAAACACAGCACUCUGCAAACACGAAAGUGGACGUAUAGGGUGUGACGCCUGCCCGGUGCCGGAAGGUUAAUUGAUGGGGUGCAAGCUCUUGAUCGAAGCCCCGGUAAACGGCGGCCGUAACUAUAACGGUCCUAAGGUAGCGAAAUUCCUUGUCGGGUAAGUUCCGACCCGCACGAAUGGCGUAACGAUGGCCACACUGUCUCCACCCGAGACUCAGCGAAGUUGAAAUGUUUGUGAAGAUGCAAUCUCCCCGCGGCUAGACGGAAAGACCCCAUGAACCUUUACUGUAGCUUUGCAUUGGACUGUGACGGGACUUGUGUAGGAUAGCUGGGAGCCUGUGAAGCGUGGUCGCUAGAUCACGUGGAGGCGUCGUUGAAAUACCAGCCUGGUGUCGUUGCGGUUCUAACCUGGGCCCCUGAUCGGGGUCGGGGACCGUGCAUGGUGGGCAGUUUGACUGGGGCGGUCUCCUCCCAAAUUGUAACGGAGGAGUACGAAGGUCUUCUAGGUACGGUCGGACAUCGUACUGAUAGUGCAAUGGCAAAAGAAGGCUUGACUGCGAGACUGACACGUCGAGCAGGUGCGAAAGCAGGUCAUAGUGAUCCGGUGGUUCUGUAUGGAAGGGCCAUCGCUCAACGGAUAAAAGGUACUCUGGGGAUAACAGGCUGAUUCCUCCCAAGAGUUCAUAUCGACGGGGAGUNUUGGCACCUCGAUGUCGGCUCAUCACAUCCUGGGGCUGUAGCCGGUCCCAAGGGUAUGGCUGUUCGCCAUUUAAAGUGGUACGUGAGCUGGGUUUAAAACGUCGUGAGACAGUUUGGUCCCUAUCUGCCGUGGGCGCUGGAUAUUUGACGGGNGCUGCUCCUAGUACGAGAGGACCGGAGUGGACGUGCCUCUGGUGUACCGGUUAUGACGCCAGUCGUAUCGCCGGGUAGCUAAGCACGGAAGAGAUAAACGCUGAAAGCAUCUAAGCGUGAAACUUGCCUGAAGAUAAGAUAUCCCUGGCACCUUGAGUGCCCUGAAGGGUCGUUGAAGACCACAACGUUGAUAGGCGGGGUGUGGAAGCGCAGUAAUGCGUUAAGCUAACCCGUACUAAUUGCCCGUGAGGCUUGAUCCUAUAA
This 3006-nucleotide ribosomal RNA is filed under the name Thiobacillus sp. RNAcentral's name for it is "23S ribosomal RNA". It matches the Rfam family "Bacterial large subunit ribosomal RNA". Lineage: Bacteria; Pseudomonadati; Pseudomonadota; Betaproteobacteria; Nitrosomonadales; Thiobacillaceae. The record is from RNAcentral.